Molecule: non-coding RNA, 97 nt
Organism: Mycena maculata
Lineage: Eukaryota; Fungi; Basidiomycota; Agaricomycetes; Agaricales; Mycenaceae
Source: the annotation of a GenBank genome assembly
CACCCGGUGGCACGAGGUGUGUGUCUGCUUUUCAUACUUAGUAUUUCUUGAAACCCUCUGAAUGCAGAAAAUGCCCGUUCGACUCGGGUCCGGGUGA